Molecule: transfer RNA, 73 nt
Filed under: Mus musculus (house mouse)
Lineage: Eukaryota; Metazoa; Chordata; Mammalia; Rodentia; Muridae
Description: tRNA-Ser
Source: RNAcentral
GGAGAGGUGGCUCAGUGGUUAAGAGCACUGACUGCUGUUCCAGGGGUCCUGAGUUCAAUUCCCAGCAACCACA